Molecule: small RNA, 78 nt
Filed under: Methylocapsa palsarum
Lineage: Bacteria; Pseudomonadati; Pseudomonadota; Alphaproteobacteria; Hyphomicrobiales; Beijerinckiaceae
Description: suhB
Source: RNAcentral
GCUGCAUGCCCACAUUGGGCGUUUCCUCCCUGACUGGGCCGCUUGGCAGCAAUGCCGACGGCCUCUUUAUCUGACGCC